GAAGUUAGCGGCGGACGGGUGAGUAACACGUGGGUAACCUGCCCAUAAGACUGGGAUAACUCCGGGAAACCGGGGCUAAUACCGGAUAACAUUUUGAACUGCAUGGUUCGAAAUUGAAAGGCGGCUUCGGCUGUCACUUAUGGAUGGACCCGCGUCGCAUUAGCUAGUUGGUGAGGUAACGGCUCACCAAGGCAACGAUGCGUAGCCGACCUGAGAGGGUGAUCGGCCACACUGGGACUGAGACACGGCCCAGACUCCUACGGGAGGCAGCAGUAGGGAAUCUUCCGCAAUGGACGAAAGUCUGACGGAGCAACGCCGCGUGAGUGAUGAAGGCUUUCGGGUCGUAAAACUCUGUUGUUAGGGAAGAACAAGUGCUAGUUGAAUAAGCUGGCACCUUGACGGUACCUAACCAGAAAGCCACGGCUAACUACGUGCCAGCAGCCGCGGUAAUACGUAGGUGGCAAGCGUUAUCCGGAAUUAUUGGGCGUAAAGCGCGCGCAGGUGGUUUCUUAAGUCUGAUGUGAAAGCCCACGGCUCAACCGUGGAGGGUCAUUGGAAACUGGGAGACUUGAGUGCAGAAGAGGAAAGUGGAAUUCCAUGUGUAGCGGUGAAAUGCGUAGAGAUAUGGAGGAACACCAGUGGCGAAGGCGACUUUCUGGUCUGUAACUGACACUGAGGCGCGAAAGCGUGGGGAGC
RNAcentral lists this ribosomal RNA (696 nucleotides) under uncultured bacterium. RNAcentral describes it as "bacterial SSU rRNA". It matches the Rfam family "Bacterial small subunit ribosomal RNA", at positions 88 to 769 of the family's 1533-position model. The record is from RNAcentral.